CAGUAGCCACGGUAAUACAGAGGGUGCGAGCGUUAAUCGGAAUUACUGGGCGUAAAGCGUGCGCAGGCGGUUAUAUAAGACAGAUGUGAAAUCCCCGGGCUCAACCUGGGAACUGCAUUUGUGACUGUAUAGCUAGAGUACGGCAGAGGGGGAUGGAAUUCCGCGUGUAGCAGUGAAAUGCGUAGAUAUGCGGAGGAACACCGAUGGCGAAGGCAAUCCCCUGGGCCUGUACUGACGCUCAUGCACGAAAGCGUGGGGAGCAAACAGGAUUAGAGACCCCUGUAGUCCCUGUCUCUUAACA
Molecule: ribosomal RNA, 301 nt
Filed under: uncultured bacterium
Lineage: Bacteria
Description: partial 16S ribosomal RNA
Rfam family: Bacterial small subunit ribosomal RNA
Source: RNAcentral